This 491-nucleotide ribosomal RNA is filed under the name uncultured bacterium. RNAcentral's name for it is "partial 16S ribosomal RNA". It matches the Rfam family "Bacterial small subunit ribosomal RNA", at positions 30 to 506 of the family's 1533-position model. The record is from RNAcentral.
AGUGAACGCUGGCGGUAGGCCUAACACAUGCAAGUCGAACGGCAGCACAGUAAGAGCUUGCUAUUACGGGUGGCGAGUGGCGGACGGGUGAGGAAUACAUCGGAAUCUACUUUUUCGUGGGGGAUAACGAAGGGAAACUUACGCUAAUACCGCAUACGACCUACGGGUGAAAGCAGGGGAUCUUCGGACCUUGAGCGAUUGAAUGAGCCGAUGUCGGAGUAGCUGGUUGGCGGGGUAAAGGCCCACCAAGGCGACGAUCCGUAGCUGGACUGAGGGGAUGAUCGGCCACACGGGAGCGGAGACACGGUCCAGAACCCUAAGGGAGGCAGCAGCGGGGAAUAUUGGAGAGGGGGCGGAAGCCAGAUCCAGCCAUAGCGCGUGGGUGAAGAAGGCCUUCGGGUUGUAAAGCCCUUUUGUUGGGAAAGAAAAGCAGCAGGUUAACGCCGCGCUGUUCUGCGGGUACCGAAAGAAUAGGCACCGGCUAACACGGU